This 605-nucleotide long non-coding RNA is filed under the name Gorilla gorilla gorilla (western lowland gorilla). RNAcentral's name for it is "lncRNA (ENSGGOG00000044334.1)". The record is from RNAcentral. Lineage: Eukaryota; Metazoa; Chordata; Mammalia; Primates; Hominidae.
GCGGGCCACGUUGGUUAAAUUAACGGAUGCAGGAUACAGACGGCCUGUGGAUAUAGACGGCUGACUGGAUGUACACGUUUAUUAUAUAAUUUUGUUUGUAAAUUAUAUUAUGAUUUAAUUCUAUUUACAACUUUAUAAUUUUUUGUUUUACAAGCCUAUAGAAUUAUAUAUAAUUAUUAUAGUUUAUCCUUAUCUCUGUUUCACGGAGAGGUAAAUGAUGACCAGGGAGUUACAAAGCUUCAUAAGUUUCUCGGAAUGUGUAUCGGAGAAAAAAUAACAGAGUCUGGCUAAAGAGAUGAAGAGCUCAUGAGGGCGUGUCUGCAUUUAAACAAGAGUAGCAUUGUCAAUUGUUGUCCUUACCAGCGGCCGACAAGGCGGAAUUGGAACGGUGCUGCUCCUGACUACCUCUACUCCCCGCUAGGCUUAGGGGCUGGAGUGACCCAAGCCCUCAGGCACAGAAUCUGGCUCUGGCGAACUCAGGCAAGAUGGAACCACAUUUGAAAGAAUCUAUGAAGACAGACUUGGCAAAGGCAGGAGUCACAGCAAAUCAAGGGAUCUGGCCAGCAAGGACUCACAGGUAACCCAGCUGGAGCUGCAGAGCUGAC